RNAcentral lists this ribosomal RNA (253 nucleotides) under uncultured bacterium. Its description in RNAcentral is "partial 16S ribosomal RNA". It matches the Rfam family "Bacterial small subunit ribosomal RNA", at positions 524 to 776 of the family's 1533-position model. The record is from RNAcentral.
UACGAGGGGGGCGAGCGUUGUUCGGAAUUAUUGGGCGUAAAGAGCUUGUAGGCGGUCUGUCGCGUCUGCUGUGAAAAUCCGGGGCUCAACCCCGGACUUGCAGUGGGUACGGGCAGACUAGAGUGUGGUAGGGGAGACUGGAAUUCCUGGUGUAGCGGUGAAAUGCGCAGAUAUCAGGAGGAACACCGAUGGCGAAGGCAGGUCUCUGGGCCACUACUGACGCUGAGAAGCGAAAGCAUGGGGAGCGAACAGG